Equus asinus (donkey) is the source of this 107-nucleotide small nuclear RNA. NCBI's taxonomy places the organism in Eukaryota, Metazoa, Chordata, Mammalia, Perissodactyla, Equidae. The record is from Ensembl.
GUGCUUGCUUCAGCAGCACAUUUACUAAAGUUGGAACAAUACAGAGAAAAUUAACAUGACCACUAUGCAAUGACAACACACAAAUUUGUGAAUCUUCCAUAUUUUUU